RNAcentral lists this ribosomal RNA (1295 nucleotides) under Arthrobacter sp. PR2-7. Its description in RNAcentral is "bacterial SSU rRNA". It matches the Rfam family "Bacterial small subunit ribosomal RNA", at positions 50 to 1356 of the family's 1533-position model. Lineage: Bacteria; Bacillati; Actinomycetota; Actinomycetes; Micrococcales; Micrococcaceae. The record is from RNAcentral.
CUUACAUGCAGUCGACGAUGAUCCCUGGCUUGCUGGGGGAUUAGUGGCGAACGGGUGAGUAACACGUGAGUAACCUGCCCUUGACUCUGGGAUAAGCCUGGGAAACUGGGUCUAAUACCGGAUACGACCAUCUGGCGCAUGUCAUGGUGGUGGAAAGCUUUUGUGGUUUUGGAUGGACUCGCGGCCUAUCAGCUUGUUGGUGGGGUAAUGGCCUACCAAGGCGACGACGGGUAGCCGGCCUGAGAGGGUGACCGGCCACACUGGGACUGAGACACGGCCCAGACUCCUACGGGAGGCAGCAGUGGGGAAUAUUGCACAAUGGGCGCAAGCCUGAUGCAGCGACGCCGCGUGAGGGAUGACGGCCUUCGGGUUGUAAACCUCUUUCAGUAGGGAAGAAGCGAAAAGUUGACGGUACCUGCAGAAGAAGCGCCGGCUAACUACGUGCCAGCAGCCGCGGUAAUACGUAGGGCGCAAGCGUUAUCCGGAAUUAUUGGGCGUAAAGAGCUCGUAGGCGGUUUGUCGCGUCUGCUGUGAAAGACCGGGGCUCAACUCCGGUUCUGCAGUGGGUACGGGCAGACUAGAGUGCAGUAGGGGAGACUGGAAUUCCUGGUGUAGCGGUGAAAUGCGCAGAUAUCAGGAGGAACACCGAUGGCGAAGGCAGGUCUCUGGGCUGUAACUGACGCUGAGGAGCGAAAGCAUGGGGAGCGAACAGGAUUAGAUACCCUGGUAGUCCAUGCCGUAAACGUUGGGCACUAGGUGUGGGGGACAUUCCACGUUUUCCGCGCCGUAGCUAACGCAUUAAGUGCCCCGCCUGGGGAGUACGGCCGCAAGGCUAAAACUCAAAGGAAUUGACGGGGGCCCGCACAAGCGGCGGAGCAUGCGGAUUAAUUCGAUGCAACGCGAAGAACCUUACCAAGGCUUGACAUGAACCGGAAAGACCUGGAAACAGGUGCCCCGCUUGCGGUCGGUUUACAGGUGGUGCAUGGUUGUCGUCAGCUCGUGUCGUGAGAUGUUGGGUUAAGUCCCGCAACGAGCGCAACCCUCGUUCUAUGUUGCCAGCGCGUUAUGGCGGGGACUCAUAGGAGACUGCCGGGGUCAACUCGGAGGAAGGUGGGGACGACGUCAAAUCAUCAUGCCCCUUAUGUCUUGGGCUUCACGCAUGCUACAAUGGCCGGUACAAAGGGUUGCGAUACUGUGAGGUGGAGCUAAUCCCAAAAAGCCGGUCUCAGUUCGGAUUGGGGUCUGCAACUCGACCCCAUGAAGUCGGAGUCGCUAGUAAUCGCAGAUCAGCAACG